GUCCUUGUAGCUUAAACUAAAGCAUGGCACUGAAGAUGCCAAUAUGAAGCUGACCCAUUCCAAAGACA
This 68-nucleotide transfer RNA is filed under the name Caecilia volcani. RNAcentral describes it as "tRNA-Phe". It matches the Rfam family "tRNA". From Rfam's summary of the family: Transfer RNA (tRNA) molecules are approximately 80 nucleotides in length. The record is from RNAcentral. Lineage: Eukaryota; Metazoa; Chordata; Amphibia; Gymnophiona; Caeciliidae.